CGGAAAGGCCCUGCUUUUGUGGGGUGCUCGAGUGGCGAACGGGUGAGUAACACGUGAGUAACCUGCCCUUGACUUUGGGAUAACUUCAGGAAACUGGGGCUAAUACCGGAUAGGAGCUCCUGCUGCAUGGUGGGGGUUGGAAAGUUUCGGCGGUUGGGGAUGGACUCGCGGCUUAUCAGCUUGUUGGUGGGGUAGUGGCUUACCAAGGCUUUGACGGGUAGCCGGCCUGAGAGGGUGACCGGCCACAUUGGGACUGAGAUACGGCCCAGACUCCUACGGGAGGCAGCAGUGGGGAAUAUUGCACAAUGGGCGGAAGCCUGAUGCAGCAACGCCGCGUGCGGGAUGACGGCCUUCGGGUUGUAAACCGCUUUCGCCUGUGACGAAGCGUGAGUGACGGUAAUGGGUAAAGAAGCACCGGCUAACUACGUGCCAGCAG
Molecule: ribosomal RNA, 436 nt
Filed under: uncultured Propionibacterium sp.
Lineage: Bacteria; Bacillati; Actinomycetota; Actinomycetes; Propionibacteriales; Propionibacteriaceae
Description: bacterial SSU rRNA
Rfam family: Bacterial small subunit ribosomal RNA
Source: RNAcentral